GUGCUUGUUUCGGCAGCACAUACACUAAAACUGGAAUGAUACAAAGAUUAGCAUAGCUUCUGUGUAAGAAUGAUAUGCAAAUUUGUGAAGUGGUCUGUGUUUUU
Molecule: small nuclear RNA, 104 nt
Organism: Nannospalax galili (Upper Galilee mountains blind mole rat)
Lineage: Eukaryota; Metazoa; Chordata; Mammalia; Rodentia; Spalacidae
Source: Ensembl